RNAcentral lists this long non-coding RNA (2539 nucleotides) under Canis lupus familiaris (dog). RNAcentral describes it as "lncRNA (ENSCAFG00845025969.1)". Lineage: Eukaryota; Metazoa; Chordata; Mammalia; Carnivora; Canidae. The record is from RNAcentral.
AUCUUAAAAAAAAAAUCUUAAAAAAAAAAAAAACUGUUAAAAAAAAAAAGAAAGACCCCCUGGGUAGGAAGAUCCAGCUGACACAGAACACCUGAGUGAGUCUGAAAUGACUGAGAAAACAGACGCUGGAGGAACAUCUGGGGACACACCUGGAGAGGCAGGGCAGCUGGCGUGAGAUUAGUAAGUAUGUGGAUUUAGGAGUCAGUCUGUCUGGGUUUAAAAUACUUGAAAUAGGGGCAGCCCUGGUGGCUCAGCGGCUUAAGUGCCACCUCCAGCCUGGGGUGUGAUCCUGGAGACCCGGGAUGGAGUCCUGCAUCGGGCUCCCUGCGAGGAGCCUGCUUCUCUCUCUGCCUCCCUCUCUGUGUCUGUCAUGGAUAAAUAAAUUUUUAAAAUCUUAAAAAAAGAAUACUCGAAAUAAAGAGAAACACUGUAUAGGGACAAAAGGGUCAAUCCAUCAGAAAGAUAGAAACAAAAAAAAAAAAAGAAAGAUAGAAACAUUUUAAAUGUAUCUGUACCUGACAAAAGAGCACCAAAAUAUAUAAGGUAAAAACUGAAAGGUUUUGAAGGGAAAGGUAGACAAUUCAACAAUCCACACUGCUCUUGCUGUUCCCCAAAGCUCAUUUCUGUCUCAGGGUCUCUGCUCUUGAUAUGUCCCCUGCCCGCAAUAGCCCUCUAAAGAUCCACCCAUGGCUGGAGUCUCUAAUUCACUGAAGAUUUCUAGUCCAUGUCACCUCCUGAGGUGGCAUUCCUCUAACCAACUUAUCCACAGCAGCUCAACCUCUCACUCCCUAUGCCAGUACUCUUUUUUUUUUUUCUAUGCCAGUACUCUGAUUUAUUUUUCUUCUGAGCAUUUAUCUCAGAAGCAUUUAUCUUCUGACAUCACCUGCCUAUGGCCUGUUUCCCUUCAUUUGAAUGUAAUCUCCCUGUGGUGAGGAUUUUGCUUAAUAUACUGCUUUUUAUUCCCAUUGCCUAGAUGAGAACCUGGCACACAGAAUGUGCUCAAGAAACAUCUGUUGAAGUGGAAGACAAAGUUCAGUAAUAGGACACACAGAUAAAUGGAUCAGGGAUUUGGUACAGGGAUAAAGGGAACACCUCCAACCAAAGGGAGAAAGGUAGACUAGUUGACCCAGGGAGAUGGCACCACUGGGAAGCCACAUGAGAAAAAAAUAAGGUUGAAGCAGGUGGAUUUAUGUCAAGUAUGUAACAUGACUCCUUUUAAAACUCUACUUUCAAAAUGCAAAAACCCAGAAGAAAAUGGAGAAGAGAAGAGGGAACCCACAGCGAAAUUUUUGAGGCUGGAAAGAAACGGACAAGUACUAUCAGACGGCAACACCACGCAGGCAAUAUGAAAAACUGACAGUUUCGCCUGAUUUAUACCGAAGAAUCCUCAAAAGGCUCAGAAAUUAGUGGUAGGAAAAACUGGUAGAAGAGGGUUUAAGAAACGGCUCAAAAACUCCAAAGAGUAGACACCUAGAUCUCCUCCCUACAUUACCCACCUUGUCCCCUCAUGGAGGACAGACUCUGGCAGAUCAGAAAUGUUUUUUUAGGAGAGAGUAAAGAAGGUCCCUGGACAGGUAGACAGAGGGCACAGAAGAUGGAGAAGGUACCAGCAACAGAGGGAUUAUACAAAAGUCCACAUAUUAACUGUUGAGGAUGUCCAGAACCUCAGCCCUCUUGCUCCACCCAGCUCCUGGAACACUGCCAGAGAGGCACAGCGCUCACAGUACUAAUAGGGAAACCUGCCCCUGGGCUUUCAUGCCCCACUCAACAACCAGAACUCCCAGCAAAAUGGCAAAAAGGGACCCUUCUCAAGGCAUUCCAUCAAGGAACUCCAGUCCACUAAGGAUGAGAGGAGAUUCUAGAACUUUCUACAGAAGAAAAAGUAGGUCAUAUGCACAGAAUCAGUAUUCAGAAUGACUCAGGACUUCCCAAUUGCAAUACUGAAAGCUGAGAGACAGAAAAGUAAUGCCUUCAAAAUCUGACGAAGCUUCUAGAUAUAUAACCAAAUUGAAAACAGGGCCUUAAAAAAAAAAAAGAAAACAGGGCCUAGAACAGAUAUUUGUACACCACAUUCACAGCAGCAGUAUUCACCAACAACCAAAAGGUGGAAAGAACCCAAGCAUCUACUGAUGGAUGAAUGGAUAAACAAAAUGUGGUCUAUCCAUACUACAUAAGAGGUAAGAUAAGAGGUAAUCCACCCCCCCCCAAAUAACCAGGAAGCUUUUCAAAUGCAAAGAGAAAGGUCUCUAAGAUAUGCUGUUAACUGAAAAAGGCAAAGUGAAGAACAGUGCGUGAAGUAUCAUUCACCUACUGACCUCCUUCAAAGGUUUUCUUUCAGUGUCAAAACCAGAAUAAAGGGCAUCCCUGGGUGGCUCAGUGGUUUGGCGCCUGCCUUCGGCCCAGGGCGUGAUCCUGGAGUCCCAGAUCGAGUCCCACAUCGGGCUCCCUGCGUGGAGCCUGCUUCUCCCUCUGCCUGUGUCUCUGCCUCUCUCUGUCUCUGUAUCUCUCAUGAAUAAAUAAAUGAAAUCUUAAAAAAAAA